Molecule: transfer RNA, 73 nt
Filed under: Polaribacter sp.
Lineage: Bacteria; Pseudomonadati; Bacteroidota; Flavobacteriia; Flavobacteriales; Flavobacteriaceae
Also listed under: 1 other name
Description: tRNA-Gly
Rfam family: tRNA
About the family: Transfer RNA (tRNA) molecules are approximately 80 nucleotides in length. Their secondary structure includes four short double-helical elements and three loops (D, anti-codon, and T loops).
Source: RNAcentral
GCGAGAGUAGCUCAGUUGGUAGAGCUUCAGCCUUCCAAGCUGAUUGUCGCCGGUUCGAACCCGGUCUCUCGCU